RNAcentral lists this ribosomal RNA (266 nucleotides) under uncultured bacterium. RNAcentral's name for it is "partial 16S ribosomal RNA". It matches the Rfam family "Bacterial small subunit ribosomal RNA", at positions 793 to 1055 of the family's 1533-position model. The record is from RNAcentral.
GUCCACGCCGUAAACGAUGAGUGCUAGACGUCGGGAAGCUUGCUUUUCGGUGUCGACGCUAACGCAUUAAGCACUCCGCCUGGGGAGUACGGCCGCAAGGUUAAAACUCAAAGGAAUUGACGGGGCCCGCACAAGCGGUGGAGCAUGUGGUUUAAUUCGAAGCAACGCGAAGAACCUUACCAGCCCUUGACAUGGAACGUAUGGGCCCGAGAGAUCGGGUCCUUCGGGUUAAGCCGGCGUUCACACAGGUGCUGCAUGGCUGUCGU